Molecule: non-coding RNA, 30 nt
Filed under: Mus musculus (house mouse)
Lineage: Eukaryota; Metazoa; Chordata; Mammalia; Rodentia; Muridae
Source: RNAcentral
UAACUGUUCAGUUGUACAAUCAUGCCCCUC